GUACUGACGAAGAGUCCCAAACUAGGACGAAACGGUUGUCCAGUAC
RNAcentral lists this non-coding RNA (46 nucleotides) under Trichobilharzia regenti. The record is from RNAcentral. Lineage: Eukaryota; Metazoa; Platyhelminthes; Trematoda; Strigeidida; Schistosomatidae.